Molecule: long non-coding RNA, 2500 nt
Organism: Thunnus maccoyii (southern bluefin tuna)
Lineage: Eukaryota; Metazoa; Chordata; Actinopteri; Scombriformes; Scombridae
Exons: 4
Source: RefSeq, a predicted model, not a curated record
CUUUAAUCCGGCCCACCUCCUCCUCCUUUCAAACUGAACUGAAUCUUUUUCGUCACAUGGACUGAGUGUGCAACCUCAGUGGUCAGGGAUGAGGGCUCUCCUCUUUGGCUGUAUCAAGCACACGCUCAAUUAGCAUCGCAUGUCUGCUGAGGAUGACCAUGGGAUGCAGUUAAAAGCUCAAGAAAAAGCUAAGUUCUUCCACUCAAAAAGAUGACUAAGAGAAAUCAAACAGCAUUUAAUUGAUUUAAAGAGGAUGAAACAUUUCACCCUGUGGCCUUCGUCAUGAUAUGAUCUUCAGUUGCUCACGGAAAAAAGCUAUAAAUUUAUGUUGCUGAUCAUUUUAUCUUGUAUUAACAAUUGCCUUUGUGUUUGUUCGAGGCAGAGUGUCACUUUCAUCACAAUGGAAAUUAAAAAACAUGUAGCAUGCCAUGAUUUUAAUGCAAAAAUAGCAUCAACAGAAGGUGAAAGCAGCCAUUAUUAUUGGAGCAGCACUCAGGAGGUCCAGUUUGUAAACAUUUUCUGCAGCAAUUUCCGCCAUAAAUUGGAAGAAAGCCAAAUAAACCCUGUAAUACACCCGCUGCACAGGCACACGAUCCAGAUUUUAUGCACAAUAACACCAAACUCUCCAUGUAGACAAAAUCUGGCUCAGUCAACAGCCUUUUAUACCCAAUACACUGGCAAUUAAUUGCAAUUUCAUGUUCACGUGUUUAUCUUAUAUCCAAAAAAAAGUAGUGCAUUUGCUCACAGUUUCAUAUGAACUGUGGUCCACUUUUUUACAGCUCUGUGACUCCUACUUUGUUGCACAUUAAUCAACAUUUAGGCCAGAAUAGGGACAGUGUAAAUGAAAGUCAAUUUAACAUGAAUUCAGCUGCACCUACUUUAAAGUCAACCCCUAGUAGAGCGUUUGGAGCAAUUAAAAGAACAUUCUGCGUUGCUUUAAGUCCCAUUUAAAACCCUCACAUGGCAACAUUUACUGUGUGCAUCGAGUUUAAUCUCAUCAAAUUGUGUAAUCCAUGAGAUGAAAUCACUCUAAACAUUACACGGCUUAACACGGAUGGAGAGGGUCACAAAGUGUUAACGCCAUGUACUUCUAACCAUUUAACGUAUUCCUCAACCGCCAGUCUGACAGGAGUACAGAAACACUAUUGUUUCAUUCAUUUAAAUGAGAUUCCAUGACUGUUGUUGUCGCAGAUGAAUUAUGUAUGUGUUGGUGUGCUGAUAUGUGAUAGACAUUGCCUCCCUGGGAAUGUAGGACACAUACUUAUGCAUAACAAUAGUCUUCAGUUAUAUUCUCACCGACAAAUUUUGCCGUUUAUCUGUUAUGUUCUGUUUUUUCAUAAAAGAAACUCUAUUUUGUUUAUCUGCUGCUUAUUUUAUGCAACUGCUGUUGAAAAAAAAAUCAGGUCCAUAUAUUCUACUUUACCAAACGGUUACUGUUGCCCCAAUACUUUCACUAAUCCUUAUUUCCUAAAACACAAAGUCAUAUGCCUGUCAGUGACAUAGUGCAGCUGAUAAUAACAUAACCUAUUUAAAAUCACCCUGAUAGGCUUGUUUCAACGGUUUAAAUCAUGAAUUGUUCAUGAUAAACAUAUCUUGAUGUUUUGUUGCAUGCCUUUCUUCUUCUCCAGACAAUAAUUGACAUUUUGGUCUGUUCCCACUAAGCCUGAUGUAUUAGUCUGACUCAAAAAAAAAAAAAAAAGAUCACUGUCCAUAAAUGUUCUGGUUUACUUAGGAUUAAACAAAUGAAGGAGCUAUAAUAAUUAGGGAUGCAUCAAAAUGUUGUUUAGCAGGCAAGCAACAAAUAUUACACAGCAUGUUAUCACCAAUAAAGAGCAUUUUUUACUUCAAAUGCUGGUGCAAAACAGAUUCUCUGUGAUUAUACAAAGGCUUUUAAGCUUUAGUUACUUAUUUGAUAGUUGUGUUAAUCGAGGUAUUCCUGAGUGGAUUUUUCUUUCAAAGAUUUCAUCCUCUUUAUCCCUCUUUUACAAUAAAAUCUUAACUCAACCCCUCUGUUUUUUUAUAACUCUAUUUAUGUCUUUUUAAAAUCAUGUUGUUUGUACUUUAAUAAUCCUAAUGGGCAAUUUCAGUGUUACAGCAGCAAGGUCACAUAAAUCCUGAAGCAAAUGAGGCAGCAAAAUACAAUAAAAAGUCAUAAACAAUAACAUGAAAUAAAUAAAUAAAAACCUAAAUGAACCAAAUAAUCUUAUUGAAUACAAUGUACAAUGAUAAAGCCCAGUAAUAUACUGCAAUACAGUAUGUUAUUAGGCAAUAAAGACUUAUUUAAGAUUUAUUACAAGGCUGCCAAUGUUUUAGAAAAAAAUGUCAUUUAAUUAUUUGAUUAUUUUACCAUGUUUGAUUAAAGGCUAUAAUUUGACACACAGCUUCAGUAUAUUUUGACCAAAAAAAAUGUUGAUUGUGACACAUUUUUGAGUAUCCUAACUUCUCGUGUCACAUUAUUGUCAGCACUUAAACAGUAAAGAAAGCCUAUUGUAGUUUUAAA